This 254-nucleotide ribosomal RNA is filed under the name uncultured bacterium. RNAcentral's name for it is "partial 16S ribosomal RNA". It matches the Rfam family "Bacterial small subunit ribosomal RNA", at positions 524 to 776 of the family's 1533-position model. The record is from RNAcentral.
CACGUAGGGUGCGAGCGUUGUCCGGAAUUAUUGGGCGUAAAGAGCUCGUAGGCGGUGUGUCGCGUCGGCCGUGAAAACUUGGGGCUUAACUCUGAGCGUGCGGUCGAUACGGGCAUCACUUGAGUUCGGCAGGGGAGACUGGAAUUCCUGGUGUAGCGGUGAAAUGCGCAGAUAUCAGGAGGAACACCGGUGGCGAAGGCGACAUCCUGGACCGGCAUUGACGCUGAGGCGCGAAAGCCAGGGGAGCAAACGGG